This 833-nucleotide ribosomal RNA is filed under the name uncultured bacterium. Its description in RNAcentral is "bacterial SSU rRNA". It matches the Rfam family "Bacterial small subunit ribosomal RNA", at positions 97 to 944 of the family's 1533-position model. The record is from RNAcentral.
GGCGAACGGGUGAGGAACACGUGAGGAAUCUGCCUUCAACACUGGGAUAACUCCGGGAAACCGGGGCUAAUACCGGAUACGAGCUCUGAUCGCAUGGUCGGGGCUGGAAAGUUUUUCGGUUGAAGAUGACCUCGCGGCCUAUCAGCUUGUUGGUGAGGUAAUGGCUCACCAAGGCGACGACGGGUAGCCGGCCUGAGAGGGCGACCGGCCACACUGGGACUGAGACACGGCCCAGACUCCUACGGGAGGCAGCAGUGGGGAAUAUUGGGCAAUGGAGGAAACUCUGACCCAGCGACGCCGCGUGCGGGAUGAAGGCCUUCGGGUUGUAAACCGCUUUCAGUAGGGAAGAAGCGAAAGUGACGGUACCUACAGAAGAAGCACCGGCUAACUAUGUGCCAGCAGCCGCGGUAAUACAUAGGGUGCAAGCGUUGUCCGGAAUUAUUGGGCGUAAAGAGCUCGUAGGUGGUUUGAUACGUCGGGUGUGAAAUUCAGGGGCUCAACCCCUGACCUGCAUUCGAUACGGUCAAGCUGGAGUUUGGUAGGGGAGACUGGAAUUCCUGGUGUAGCGGUGGAAUGCGCAGAUAUCAGGAGGAACACCGAUGGCGAAGGCAGGUCUCUGGGCCAAUACUGACACUGAGGAGCGAAAGCGUGGGGAGCGAACAGGAUUAGAUACCCUGGUAGUCCACGCCGUAAACGAUGGGCGCUAGUUGUGCGAACCUUCCACGGUUUGUGCGACGCAGCUAACGCAUUAAGCGCCCCGCCUGGGGAGUACGAUCGCAAGAUUAAAACUCAAAGGAAUUGACGGGGCCCCGCACAAGCAGCGGAGCAUGCGG